CCUCCCAGGCAGGAUUUGCUCCUCGGAGAGAGCUUGUCCUUGCAUAUUCAUUAUAAUCAUACAAACACACCAAGGAUAACCUCUCCCCAAGUAGCAAACGGAAGCACCGGCGG
RNAcentral lists this microRNA precursor (113 nucleotides) under Mustela putorius furo (domestic ferret). RNAcentral describes it as "miRNA (ENSMPUG00000020281.1)". The record is from RNAcentral. Lineage: Eukaryota; Metazoa; Chordata; Mammalia; Carnivora; Mustelidae.